This 492-nucleotide ribosomal RNA is filed under the name uncultured bacterium. Its description in RNAcentral is "partial 16S ribosomal RNA". It matches the Rfam family "Bacterial small subunit ribosomal RNA", at positions 29 to 507 of the family's 1533-position model. The record is from RNAcentral.
AGUGAACGCUGGCGGCAGGCCUAACACAUGCAAGUCGAACGGCAGCACAGUAAGAGCUUGCUCUUACGGGUGGCGAGUGGCGGACGGGUGAGGAAUACAUCGGAAUCUACUUUUUCGUGGGGGAUAACGUAGGGAAACUUACGCUAAUACCGCAUACGACCUACGGGUGAAAGCAGGGGAUCUUCGGACCUUGCGCGAUUGAAUGGGCCGAUGUCGGAUUAGCUAGUUGGCGGGGUAAAGGCCCACCAAGGCGACGAUCCGUAGCUGGUCUGAGAGGAUGAUCAGCCACACUGGAACUGAGACACGGUCCAGACUCCUACGGGAGGCAGCAGUGGGGAAUAUUGGACAAUGGGCGCAAGCCUGAUCCAGCCAUACCGCGUGGGUGAAGAAGGCCUUCGGGUUGUAAAGCCCUUUUGUUGGGAAAGAAAAGCAGCAGGUUAAUACCCCGCUGUUCUGACGGUACCCAAAGAAUAAGCACCGGCUAACUUCGUG